Molecule: ribosomal RNA, 252 nt
Filed under: uncultured bacterium
Lineage: Bacteria
Description: partial 16S ribosomal RNA
Rfam family: Bacterial small subunit ribosomal RNA
Source: RNAcentral
UACGAAGGGGGCUAGCGUUGUUCGGAAUUACUGGCGUAAAGCGCGCGCAGGCGGUCUUCCAAGUCAGUGGUGAAAGCCCGGAGCUCAACUCCGGAACUGCCAUUGAAACUGUUAGACUUGAGGACGAGAGAGGUGAGUGGAAUUCCCAGUGUAGAGGUGAAAUUCGUAGAUAUUGGGAAGAACACCGGUGGCGAAGGCGGCUCACUGGCUCGUAUCUGACGCUCAGGCGCGACAGCGUGGGGAUCAAACAGG